GUGGGGAAUCUUGCGCAAUGGGCGAAAGCCUGACGCAGCCAUGCCGCGUGAAUGAUGAAGGUCUUAGGAUUGUAAAAUUCUUUCACCGGGGACGAUAAUGACGGUACCCGGAGAAGAAGCUCCGGCUAACUUCGUGCCAGCAGCCGCGGUAAUACGAAGGGGGCUAGCGUUGCUCGGAAUUACUGGGCGUAAAGGGCGCGUAGGCGGACAGCUUAGUCAGAGGUGAAAGCCCAGGGCUCAACCUUGGAAUUGCCUUUGAUACUGGCUGUCUUGAGUUUGGGAUAGGUGAGUGGAACACCGAGUGUAGAGGUGAAAUUCGUAGAUAUUCGGAAGAACACCGGUGGCGAAGGCGACUCACUGGCCCAAGACUGACGCUGAGGCGCGAAAGCGUGGGGAGCAAACAGGAUUAGAUACCCCUGUAGUCC
RNAcentral lists this ribosomal RNA (425 nucleotides) under uncultured bacterium. Its description in RNAcentral is "partial 16S ribosomal RNA". It matches the Rfam family "Bacterial small subunit ribosomal RNA", at positions 354 to 796 of the family's 1533-position model. The record is from RNAcentral.